CACGUAGUUAGCCGUGGCUUUCUGGUUAGGUACCGUCAAGGUGCCAGCUUAUUCAACUGGCACUUGUUCUUCCCUAACAACAGAGUUUUACGACCCGAAAGCCUUCAUCACUCACGCGGCGUUGCUCCGUCAGACUUUCGUCCAUUGCGGAAGAUUCCCUA
RNAcentral lists this ribosomal RNA (161 nucleotides) under uncultured bacterium. RNAcentral's name for it is "partial 16S ribosomal RNA". The record is from RNAcentral.